Molecule: ribosomal RNA, 466 nt
Filed under: uncultured bacterium
Lineage: Bacteria
Description: partial 16S ribosomal RNA
Rfam family: Bacterial small subunit ribosomal RNA
Source: RNAcentral
GACGAACGCUGGCGGCGUGCUUAACACAUGCAAGUCGAACGGAAAGGCUCCAGCUUGCUGGAGUACUCGAGUGGCGAACGGGUGAGUAACACGUGGGUAAUCUGCCCUGCACUCUGGGAUAAGCCUGGGAAACUGGGUCUAAUACUGGAUAUGACCUUUCUCCUUAUGGGGUUUGGUGGAAAGUUUUUCGGUGUAGGAUGAGCCCGCGGCCUAUCAGCUUGUUGGCGGGGUGAUGGCCUACCAAGGCGACGACGGGUAGCCGGCCUGAGAGGGUGAUCGGCCACAUUGGGACUGAGAUACGGCCCAGACUCCUACGGGAGGCAGCAGUGGGGAAUAUUGCACAAUGGGCGGAAGCCUGAUGCAGCGACGCCGCGUGAGGGAUGACGGCCUUCGGGUCGUAAACCUCUUUCAGCAGGGACGAAGCGUAAGUGACGGUACCUGCAGAAGAAGCACCGGCUAACUAUGU